AAAUAUGAUCAGCAACAGAUGGUGCAUGAUACAUCAGCUAGUGUUGGCAUACAUCUCUAUCAUGUUAUAGCCUGCACCUUGCAUCUCAAACAAGAGGACUACUAUAGCCGACCAUCAUUAAUACCAUCCUGCAUUAAGUCCCAAUGAAGGCAGAAGCAGAUAUGUUGAAUCAGUCCAGUCAUUGAACCUACAUAAACAUACCCAAACCAGAACCAAAGUGCUAAACAUGGAGCAACGACAUCAUGCCAAAAGGAACUGAUAAAUCCAAUUGUGUGACAUGACAUACUUCAGUCAAGAUUUAUGCACUAUCCUGCUAGCAAAACC
This 324-nucleotide long non-coding RNA is filed under the name Lathyrus oleraceus (garden pea). RNAcentral describes it as "Pisum sativum (pea) long non-coding RNA (PSAT_LNC019254)". Lineage: Eukaryota; Viridiplantae; Streptophyta; Magnoliopsida; Fabales; Fabaceae. The record is from RNAcentral.